This 673-nucleotide small RNA is filed under the name Pan troglodytes (chimpanzee). RNAcentral describes it as "retained intron". Lineage: Eukaryota; Metazoa; Chordata; Mammalia; Primates; Hominidae. The record is from RNAcentral.
CUCAGCCUCUCCGUAUGCAGGAGCUGGUUUCCCUCCCACCUUUGCCAUUCCUCAAGCUGCAGGCCUUUCCGUUCCCAACGUCCACGGCGCCCUGGCCCCCCUGGCCAUCCCCUCGGCGGCGGCGGCAGCUGCGGCGGCAGGCCGGAUCGCCAUCCCGGGCCUGGCGGGGGCAGGAAAUUCUGUAUUGCUGGUCAGCAACCUCAACCCAGAGGUACGUGGGCUUUUCCUCCGCGCCGCCGUUCCUCCCGGAAGAGCGAGCAGGGGAUGUUGUGCUCGGGCUCGGGUCCCGGAGCAGCGCCGCCCCUCGCUGUGUCUGCGCCUCUGCCCCGGCAGCCCCUCUGCUGCAGCGCUGAGACCCUCCUUUUCCAAGAUGGCUUGAGUUUUCCUGUUUUCCUGAAUUCACAUCUUGGUUCGCGUUUUCCCUUCCAUGAUAUGCAGCAUGAAUUAUUUUUUGGUUACCCGGAGGCAAUCUAAAAGUUACUUGGAGCUGAGCAGGGCGCGCAGUUCAGAGCCCCAGCAGGCCGCCCUGCUGGUCAGCAGGACACACAGGGUUAUUAGCGCGGCGGGUGGUGGCUCGAGAGCCUGUCACUUAACUGGUGGAUCCGUUAUUUCUCAGAAUGGUUAAAUUCCCCUCGGGGAGAGCUUGGGUGAAACAAGAGGCCCAAAAUAUGUA